This 495-nucleotide ribosomal RNA is filed under the name uncultured bacterium. RNAcentral describes it as "partial 16S ribosomal RNA". It matches the Rfam family "Bacterial small subunit ribosomal RNA", at positions 28 to 507 of the family's 1533-position model. The record is from RNAcentral.
GACGAACGCUGGCGGCGUGCCUAAUACAUGCAAGUAGAACGCUGAAGGAGGAGCUUGCUCUUCUGGAUGAGUUGCGAACGGGUGAGUAACGCGUAGGUAACCUGCCUGGUAGCGGGGGAUAACUAGUGGAAACGAUAGCUAAUACCGCAUAAAAUUGAGUAUUGCAGGAUAGUCAAUUAAAAGGUGCAAUUGCGUCACUACCAGAUGGACCUGCGUUGUAUGAGCGAGUUGGUGAGGUAACGGCUCACCAAGGCAACGAUACAUAGCCGACCUGAGAGGGUGAUCGGCCCCCCUGGGACUGGGACACGGCCCAGACUCCUACGGGGGGCAGCCGUAGGGAAUCUUCGGCCAUGGACGGAAGUCUGACCGCGCCACGCCGCGUGAGUGAAGAAGGUUUUCGGAUCGUAAAGCUCUGUUGUGAGAGAAGAACGAGUGUGAGAGUGGAAAGUUCACACUGUGACGGUAUCUUACCAGAAAGAGCCGGCUAACUACGUG